AGAACGAACGCUGGCGGCAUGCCUAACACAUGCAAGUCGAACGAGACCUUCGGGUCUAGUGGCGCACGGGUGCGUAACGCGUGGGAAUCUGCCCUUGGGUUCGGAAUAACAGCGAGAAAUUGCUGCUAAUACCGGAUGAUGACGUAAGUCCAAAGAUUUAUCGCCCAAGGAUGAGCCCGCGUAGGAUUAGCUUGUUGGUGAGGUAAGAGCUCACCAAGGCGACGAUCCUUAGCUGGUCUGAGAGGAUGAUCAGCCACACUGGGACUGAGACACGGCCCAGACUCCUACGGGAGGCAGCGAGUGGGGAAUAUUGGACAAGUGGGACGAAAGCCUGAUCCAGCCAUCGCCGCGUGUGUGAAGAAGGU
Molecule: ribosomal RNA, 365 nt
Filed under: uncultured soil bacterium
Lineage: Bacteria
Description: bacterial SSU rRNA
Rfam family: Bacterial small subunit ribosomal RNA
Source: RNAcentral